CACUGCUGUGGCAGAGUAGAUGCACCUGAUUUCACCUUGAUCUUGGAAACUAAGCAGUCCUUGACCUGGCUAGCACUUGAAUGGGUAGGCCACUUCGGGAUUCCAAGUACUGUAGAUG
RNAcentral lists this ribosomal RNA (118 nucleotides) under Crocodylus porosus (Australian saltwater crocodile). The record is from RNAcentral. Lineage: Eukaryota; Metazoa; Chordata; Crocodylia; Crocodylidae.